Molecule: ribosomal RNA, 410 nt
Filed under: uncultured microorganism
Description: bacterial SSU rRNA
Rfam family: Bacterial small subunit ribosomal RNA
Source: RNAcentral
GAGUUUGAUCCUGGCUCAGAUUGAACGCUGGCGGCAUGCCUUACACAUGCAAGUCGAACGGCAGCAUGAUCUAGCUUGCUAGAUUGAUGGCGAGUGGCGAACGGGUGAGUAAUACAUCGGAACGUGCCCUGUAGUGGGGGAUAACUAGUCGAAAGAUUAGCUAAUACCGCAUACGACCUGAGGGUGAAAGUGGGGGACCGCAAGGCCUCAUGCUAUAGGAGCGGCUGAUGUCUGAUUAGCUAGUUGGUGGGGUAAAGGCCCACCAAGGCGACGAUCAGUAGCUGGUCUGAGAGGACGAUCAGCCACACUGGGACUGAGACACGGCCCAGACUCCUACGGGAGGCAGCAGUGGGGAAUUUGGACAAUGGGCGAAAGCCUGAUCCAGCAAUGCCGCGUGUGUGAAGAAGGCC